This 967-nucleotide non-coding RNA is filed under the name Danio albolineatus (pearl danio). The record is from RNAcentral. Lineage: Eukaryota; Metazoa; Chordata; Actinopteri; Cypriniformes; Danionidae.
CAAAGGCAUGGUCCUGACCUUAUACUUCAGCUCUUACCAACUGACACAUGCAAGUCUCCGAAUCCCGUGAGUAUGCCCUCAAAUCCCGGCCCGGGGAGGAGGAGCGGGUGUCAGGGGACAACUUUUGGCCCAACACGCCAAGGCUGAAGCCACACCCCGCAGGGAUUCACCAGUCAUAAACAUUAAGCGAUAUGUGAAAAGUUGACUCUAGUCAGGCUUAAGAGGGGCGGAAAAAGUCGUCCCUGCCACCGCGGUUAAACGAGAGGCCAUGGAUGAUAUCACCACGGCGAAAAGGGUGGUUAAGGUAAGCAAAACAAUCAAGCCGAAUGGCCCAUUGGGCGUCAUACGCACUUAGCUGCCCGCAACCCUAACACGAAAACGGCUUCAAUGAAACGUACUUGAUUGCUCGAGUGCUGACGUAUCAAUCACGGAUUAGAUACCCCACUCUGGUCAGCCUUAAAGUAAGAGACUAAUACACAACAAUGUCAUCCAGGCCACUUCGAGCACCUGCUUGAAACCCAAAGGACCAGACCGUGGCUUAGAUCCACGUAGACGAGCCUGGUUCUAGAACCGAUAAUCCCCCGUUAAACCUCUCCAGUCCUAGCAUUAUCAGCCUCUAUUCCACGGUCGCCAGGAUUACGCUGUGUAGGUAAUACAUGUUAGCUCAAACGGUAAAUCCCAGUACGACAGGUCGCGGUGUUGCAAACGAAGUGGAAUGAACUGGCCUAGAUUUUCUAUUAUAGAAUAAAACACGAUACGCAAUAUGAAACUUUUAAUGCUUGAACGAGGAUUUAGUAGUAAAUCGGAAAGAGAGCUUCCGUUUGAACCCGCCUCUGAGGCGCCUACUCUGCGCCGGUGACUCGCGCCUGACAAAAUGCCGCUAGCAUUUCCUUUAAAAAACAGCACCGACGAGGGGGGAAAAGUCGUAACAAGGUAAGUGUACCGGAAGGUGCACUUGGAUUAAACU